Molecule: ribosomal RNA, 253 nt
Filed under: uncultured bacterium
Lineage: Bacteria
Description: partial 16S ribosomal RNA
Rfam family: Bacterial small subunit ribosomal RNA
Source: RNAcentral
UACAGAGGUCUCAAGCGUUGUUCGGAUUCAUUGGGCGUAAAGGGUGCGUAGGCGGCGCGGUAAGUCGGGUGUGAAAUCUUGGAGCUUAACUCCGAAACUGCAUUCGAUACUGCCGUGCUUGAGGACUGGAGAGGAGACUGGAAUUUACGGUGUAGCGGUGAAAUGCGUAGAUAUCGUAAGGAAGACCAGUGGCGAAGGCGGGUCUCUGGACAGUUCCUGACGCUGAGGCACGAAGGUCAGGAGAGCAAACGGG